RNAcentral lists this ribosomal RNA (492 nucleotides) under uncultured bacterium. RNAcentral describes it as "partial 16S ribosomal RNA". It matches the Rfam family "Bacterial small subunit ribosomal RNA", at positions 29 to 507 of the family's 1533-position model. The record is from RNAcentral.
AGUGAACGCUGGCGGUAGGCCUAACACAUGCAAGUCGAACGGCAGCACAGUAAGAGCUUGCUCUUACGGGUGGCGAGUGGCGGACGGGUGAGGAAUACAUCGGAAUCUACUUUUUCGUGGGGGAUAACGUAGGGAAACUUACGCUCAUACCGCAUACGACCUACGGGUGAAAGCAGGGGAUCUUCGGACCUUGCGCGAUUGAAUGAGCCGAUGUCGGAUUAGAUAGUUGGCGGGGUAAAGGCCCACCAAGGCGACGAUCCGUAGCUGGUCUGAGAGGAUGAUCAGCCAGACUGGAACUGAGACACGGUCCAGACUCCUACGGGAGGCAGCAGUGGGGAAUAUUGGACAAUGGGCGCAAGCCUGAUCCAGCCAUACCGCGUGGGUGAAGAAGGCCUUCGGGUUGUAAAGCCCUUUUGUUGGGAAAGAAAAGCAGCAGGUUAAUACCCCGCUGUUCUGACGGUACCCAAAGAAUAAGCACCGGCUAACUUCGUG